UCUGAGCUGAGCAAAGCCGAUGCACGCAGGAGGAGUCAGUCCUAAGAGGAGCUAGGGAAAACGUCCCCAGCAGAAGGAUCAGCAGGUUGAGAUAUGUGGAAGGAGGCGCUGGCCUUUCCCCAAGACCUGACGAAGGAACCGGACUCAGCCAGGUGAGAAGAGGUCCACUCAGCUCAUUGGAAGGAUAAGGGACCUGCAAAACGGGGGACUGACUCCUCACUCCCUGGCCAGUGCUCGCUGAGCUGUGGAGAUUCUAGCCUGGCACCUGGAACAAAGUGCGGGGCCAGAACACCUGGAGGGAGUGCUUGAGAGAAAUUGAUGUGUUGUCUGGGGUUCGGAGCACGCAUGAACACAUGAACAUAGAGACUAGUGCCUGAUACCUGCCUGGAGAACCGUGAAGGCAAGAGGCUGGCUGGAGCAGCCUUCCAUUCCAGGGCGAGGAGAGAGGGCAUCACGAAGGCAGCUUCGACUCCUAGGAUUUGGUGUUGUAAAGAUGCACUGAGUGCCAUGUAAUUACGGAGGAAUAUAACUGAGCUCAAACUCUCCUCCAUGGGACCACACUCACGA
Molecule: long non-coding RNA, 567 nt
Filed under: Equus caballus (horse)
Lineage: Eukaryota; Metazoa; Chordata; Mammalia; Perissodactyla; Equidae
Description: lncRNA (ENSECAG00000046770.1)
Source: RNAcentral